UACGUAGGGUGCGAGCGUUGUCCGGAAUUAUUGGGCGUAAAGAGCUCGUAGGCGGUUUGUCACGUCUGCUGUGAAAUCCCGAGGCUCAACCUCGGGCCUGCAGUGGGUACGGGCAGACUGGAGUGCGGUAGGGGAGAAUGGAAUUCCUGGUGUAGCGGUGGAAUGCGCAGAUAUCAGGAGGAACACCGAUGGCGAAGGCAGUUCUCUGGGCCGUAACUGACGCUGAGGCGCGAAAGCGUGGGGAGCGAACAGG
This 253-nucleotide ribosomal RNA is filed under the name uncultured bacterium. Its description in RNAcentral is "partial 16S ribosomal RNA". It matches the Rfam family "Bacterial small subunit ribosomal RNA", at positions 524 to 776 of the family's 1533-position model. The record is from RNAcentral.